CCUACGGGAGGCAGCAGUGGGGGAUAUUGCACAAUGGGGGAAAGCCUGAUGCAGCGACGCCGCGUGUGGGAAGACGGUCCUCUGGAUUGUAAACCACUGUCGCAAGGGACGAAGAUGACGGUACCUGGGAAGGAAGCUGCGGCAAAGUACGUGCCAGCAGACGCGGUACUACGUAGGGAGCGAGCGUUGUCCGGAAUUACUGGGUGUAAAGGGAGCGUAGGCGGGGAUGCAAGGUGGGUGUAAAAACUACCGGCUCAACUGGUAGUCGCACUCAAAACUGCAGCUCUUGAGUGAAGUAGAGGCAGGCGGAAUUCCUGGUGUAGCGGUGAAAUGCGUAGAUAUUAGGAGGAACCCCAGUGGCGAAGGCGGCCUGCUGGGCUUUUACUGACGCUGAGGCUCGAAAGUGUGGGGAGCAAACAGGAUUAGAUACCCGAGUAGUC
Molecule: ribosomal RNA, 440 nt
Filed under: uncultured bacterium
Lineage: Bacteria
Description: partial 16S ribosomal RNA
Rfam family: Bacterial small subunit ribosomal RNA
Source: RNAcentral